UUUGCCGGACUAGGCCCGCGUGC
This 23-nucleotide microRNA is filed under the name Equus caballus (horse). RNAcentral's name for it is "eca-miR-9028". The record is from miRBase by way of RNAcentral. Lineage: Eukaryota; Metazoa; Chordata; Mammalia; Perissodactyla; Equidae.